GUCUUCAUUUUGCAAAUCAUAAUCCCUGCUCCUAGGCUGUGUGUGUGGUGAGGUGAGGGGGAGGUGGAUAUGAAUAUGUAUGGACAGGAUUGGGUGAGGAUGGGCCCCAGAUUUAAACAACAAAGGGCACUCUUUCUGCGAAGUUCUACAGUCAGCAAUUCUAUUAGGAGUAUCCCAUUUGACUCCAGAUUUCAUUCUGCAAGACAACUGAUUGACUUAUUUUCUCCUAAUCUAAUUGGUCACUAAAUUCUUCCAAUUCUUUGAUUUUUGAACCUCAAUUACAGCUGACCCUUAAACAACACUGGUUCAAACUGCAUGAGUCCACUUAUAUGUAGAUUUUCUUCCAUCUCUGCAACCCCAGACAGCAAGCCCUCCACUUCCUCUUCACCUUAUUCAAUGUGAAGAUGACAAGGAUGAAGAUGUUUAUGAUGAUCUGCGUCCAUUCAAUACACAGUGUUUUCUCUUUAUGAUUUUCUUAGUAUUUUCAUUUUAUUGCUUAUUUUAUUGUAAGAAUACAGUAUAUAAUACAUAUAACAUGUAAAAUAUGUGUUAACUGUUUAUGUUAUUAGUAAGGCUUUUGGUCAACAUUAGGCUAUUAGUAGUUUUUAGGGAGCCAAAGGUUAUAUUCAAAGUUCCUAUUGUGUUGGGGUUGGGGGAGUCAGUGCCCCUAACCUCCACAUUGUUCAAGGGUCAACUAUACCUGUAAAAUAAAGCAUUGUGCUAAAUCAUCCUUAUGAUCCAUUUCCAGUUAUAACGUUCUAUCCUAUUUUGGAAUAUUCAGAAUAAAUUAUGUCAUACUUAUUAAACCUUGUCAAAUGGUCUGAAUGUUUGCGUUCCCCCAAAAUUUAUGUUAAAAUCCCAACCCCAAUGUCAUGGUAUUAGGAGGCGAGGUCUUUUGUGAGGUAAUUGGGUCAUGAAGGCAGUGAAUGGGAUUAAUGCCCUUGUAAAAGUGGCCCAAGAGCGCUCCCUCACCCUUUCCACCAUAUGAGGUUAUACUAAAAAGACUGCUGGCUAUAAAUAAGAAGUGGGCCCUCACCAGAUACCAAAUCUUCUGGCAUCACGAUCUUCCCAGGCCCCAGAACUGAGAAAAAUUUUUAAGUCACUCAGUCUGUGAUAUUCUGUUAUGGCAGCCCGAAAGGACUAAGACACCUCACUCUAACAUUAAAAAGAUCUAUGUUAGGGGUCUUCAAACUACUAUCCACAGGCUUCAAGCCACCUAAUUUGUAAAGUUUUACUGGAACAGAGCCACAUCUAUUCAAUUUAAAUAUUAAAUAUGUAGCUUUCACUAUGACAACAGAGUUGAAUGGCCUGUAACUUGUAUCUUGCCAGAGUCUGUAUGGCCUGUAACUAGUAUCUGGCCCUUUACAGAAAACGUUAGCCAACCUCUGAUCUAGGCUAAGAACUUGAUAGUAGGUACUAUUAAAGUUAUUGCUAACUUUAUACAUGUUUGUAAUAAUUAUAAAUAGUCUCACAAAUCAUUUUCCAAAACUUCUAUUUGCAGAGAAUUGUUUUCUUCCUUGCUCCUAAAUCACAGAGGAGAUAGUCCAUAACCAGUGAGCUGGGCCAGAAGCUAAGUACUUUUAUCCCUCUUCCCAAACUGGAAAUAAUGCUUUUCUUUGGCUACCUAACAGUGCAGUGGCAAAAGGUUCAGAUUCGGUUUUCAGGCUCAGAGUAGAAUGAGCAAAAACCAAUGACAUUUCCACUUUUCCAACUAUAAUGCUGAAAAAAAUAGCUGCUGCACUGUAUCUUUUAAGAGUGUUGUGGAUACCAGCUAUUGUGGGUUUGUUCAACUCCCAACCCCUGGCAACUCAGAAUAUGACUUUAACUGGAGAUAGACUCUUUACAGAGGUGCCACGCCAAAAAUUAUACCUCUCAUCCACAAAUCUUAGAGUUGCAUCAUGUACAAAUACUUGGUUUCUGAAGAAUUCUGGACUGCAAGUUAAAGAAAAUGAGGAAGUUGAGGCUCAGAGAGCAAAUAAACUUCAAAAGAUCAUGGAGGUGCUAAGAGAGGUUACCAUACCAGAUAAAAUAAGAAGUUCAAUGAUUUCUGCAUCUCCAAGG
RNAcentral lists this long non-coding RNA (2061 nucleotides) under Homo sapiens (human). Its description in RNAcentral is "HSALNT0310572". Lineage: Eukaryota; Metazoa; Chordata; Mammalia; Primates; Hominidae. The record is from RNAcentral.